Molecule: long non-coding RNA, 564 nt
Filed under: Cyanistes caeruleus (blue tit)
Lineage: Eukaryota; Metazoa; Chordata; Aves; Passeriformes; Paridae
Description: lncRNA (ENSCCEG00000000630.1)
Source: RNAcentral
GGAGAAGCGGUGGCCUCGAAGUGGGACCCCGGGAAGGCAGGACAAUUAACGGCCCGGGCUAAUAUGCUGUAAUUGCAGGCAGCCGGAAUUGGCGGUCCUGAGACUCCCCCUGCCCUGCCGAGGGGGCAGCUGGUACAGGGCAGAGACAUUUUGGACCUUGCCGUCAGCAGAGGCCUACAGGCCUGGCAUCACUGAGGAGAGAGGCAAUGGGACAGGGCAGCCCAUCCCUCCUUUCCAGCUACCACUGGAUCUGGUUUUUGCUCCAGUCUCUAUGAUGGAUUUGGAACUCGCCAGCUUGUGCCCAUGUCAGUACUGUGGCGGCUCCAUCUUUGGCAGUGCAUGGGAUUCUGGAAAGCAAUGAGUGGCCCCAACUGCGUGAAAAGGCCAAGAAAUCCAGUAGGACUCAAGCUCCCUGGGAAAAACAGUCGGGACGUGCCUGUCCCAGCUCCAGGCAAGGAGCAGUCAUUGGAUUAUAGCGCAAUAUCCGAAGUACACGUUGCCAGCACUGUGCGGGUGGAUAAUGUAAUCGGAGCUCAUUUUGCCUUCCAAUAAAUUACAGCAGGA